This 1276-nucleotide long non-coding RNA is filed under the name Equus asinus (donkey). RNAcentral's name for it is "lncRNA (ENSEASG00005037684.1)". Lineage: Eukaryota; Metazoa; Chordata; Mammalia; Perissodactyla; Equidae. The record is from RNAcentral.
GCAAGAUCAAGGGCCACAGGCCUUCCCCAAAGGUCUCUGAAGGAAUUAGAAGUGGCCCUUUCCAUCAGAGACAGAGAGAACCUAAGGCAUCGGUUUACGUGCGUUGGUAGAGAAUCCCCUUUUCCCAGUGUCUUUAGCUGGGAUUCUCUUUAAAGGCAGACUCUGAGACAAGGAUUUGGAUGCAAGCAGUUGAUUUGGAAGGUGAUUCCUGGAAGCUCAGUCACGAAAUGGGAAAGUAAUCAAGGAAGGGGAUAGAGAAGCAGAGAAGAAGAGUCUUCAAGACAUUAUCAUAUGAGUAGUCUGGAAAUCUGCCUCCAUAUAGCAGAUUGGAAUGAAGAGACCAAUCACGUACAGAAUGGACAAAAAGAAAUGCAUAAUAAAUGCAGUGGAAGUGUUUUUAAGACCUAGUGACCAGAACAGUUCAUGCUGGAUGAUGGAGGUCAGGUGUGCAAUAAAGGAACCCAUUGGAGAACUCAGAAGACUAAGGGAUGUUGUAAAGCUCAACUGAGAUAAUAUAUGAUAAAACACGUGGAACGCAAAAUAUGAAACACUGUAAAAAUAUAAGAUUUCAGGUAUGAUACCAGCAUGGAGAGGCAUAAACAAGAAGGGAAACGUUGAACCAGCAUGCAAAUCAGAGGACUGGAUGAAUAAAUACCUAUGUGAUUGAUAUCAUGGAAACUGAUGCACACUUGUGUUUGUACACCUGGAUCAAAAGUGAGGAUGAGCAGACACCUGAAACUAAGACAUUCGUUUUGACUGCUGAUUGGUUCAGGUCGUGAUACCUCAAUAUAUGGCACCUUGGCAUCUUGAAUAUUUUAAGCUGAAGGAGUUUGAGAAAACAGCAGAAGCAGGAAAGUCUCUCUGACCUUCUCCCCUGAAACAGGCCAUCAAACAGUCUUGAGAGGAGCCCUCCCACACCAGGCGGAAAGGAGCGUCCUUAUCUCUGAGGAAAAAGGGACCCGAGAAAAAUCUGGACAGACAGGCCUUGCUGAGUCUGCCCAGUUUACUACCCUUCCCUUCCAUUCCUUGACCUGUCACAUUCCUCCACGACUGUCCAUGCUUCACCAAAUGCAGCAUGAAAGUACACAGGUUAAUUUUCAGACACAGCAAGGGACCCUAAGAUAGUCUAGGAAGACGUUUUCCUUCUCUACACUGGUAAAUUACUCAAAAACAGAGGCAUCAAAUUGUUUUUCUCACAAACGUCUGGAUAUUUCAAACCUUACAGAACCUUGAAAGGAAUAGGCUGACUCAAAUGUUGGCCUCCCACGUGGGACAC